CCACUUUGAAACAUUCUUAAUGGUGUUGUAUGAUUUCUAUCUCACUCCUCAAAGUGGAAAUCGCGGCUUUGCUUUUCGCGACAGAAUUAGGCGGAAUGAUUGCACAUUUUUGGGGGCUCACUGUAUACGUACGUAUAUAUUUACGUAGCGGUACAUACAAUUCUAUGUAUCGUUAUGUAAAACAAUUUGAAUGAUUGUGUGUAGAGCGAAUGACUUGGUAUGAGAUGUCAGCGGACUCAUCACUGUCGCUUCACCUGUGUUUGAAGUGAUGCAAUUUCGGCGGCGCUCUCAGGAUCUAACACUAUGAUACGCGCUGUCACGACAAUUUUCCAGAAUUUUUUCAACAGUAGUAGUAGUAGGAGAUAGUUCCUUCGAUAUCCGUUUCCGCAAUUUGGCAACAGAUGGCGUUAGUUGUACAACCAUAAUAUUUCUCAACCGUUUCCGAUAGUACUAGUCUUUUCUAUAUCCUUUUCCGGUAUUUGCCAAUAGAUGGCGUUACUCGUACUGGCAUAACAAUACCGCUAAAGCUUAUUAACAUUUAUGUACUGUUCACCAUUUACUUGCGCCGUUUCCUCGCAAAGUUCAAUAAAACGGUUCGUUAAAUGAACAUUCACUGGUUUUAAACGAGGAUCAAUAAAAGUUUAUUAUAUUAAAACUCUUUUUUUGGACUUUUUAUGAACUGGUGUAACAAGUCGUUUAAGCAAAGUCUUAUAUUUUCUUCUUAUAUUCUGUUUUUAUAUUAUAGAGAUAUUGUGUAGAUUUAAAGAGAUAGUUGAUGUAGAUUGUUAUAUUAUAAUCUUAUAUUCUGUGAGUAUAUCAUAAUAAUAUGUGAAGUUGAUUAAUUUGGAACUUUAAUCAAAUGAGAUGAAAUUAAAGAAAACCAAUUAAGGAAUGAGAUAAAGUCUCAAUAAAAUGACGGUUAUUUACAGACACUUUUUGGUGAACUUUUUGGAAGAGCCUGAGGGGCUGCAUCCAGCGUGUUUGUUUUGAUUUUUCACGUUUGUAAACUUUCACAGGUGCUACAGUUACAAACGGAUUAAUAAAUCGCCGUUAUUACACAUUUAAACACGAAGAAACACUAAGUUAAUAAAAUAAAACAAAACAUUCACAUUGCUUUCCUACACGCGUUUCCGUCAAGAAGUAAAAAAAAACAUAAUUUGGUUAAAAAGAAAAAUGCGCGAAGGAAUUUAAUCAAAACUUUUGCAGCAAUAUAUUAUACGAAAUAUGCUAUUUUAUUAAAUUUAAAUCUAUAAUACCUUGAAAUACGUUAUAAAAUGCUUUGUGGUUGAGCAUUAGUGUACAGCGUACGCACACUGUUUAACUAGGGGUCCCGCAGUAGUCGAAAUUCGACUAUAAUCAAUUGUAAUUAUAAGCUUGAACAUUAUUAAGGUUCUAUUUUCAAAGAUUAUUAUACUUCUUUAUUCACAGAUUUCGCCAAGACCACACUAUAGACAAUUAAUAUUAAAGAUAAACAAUAUUAAUCUAUUCUCAAUUUGACCACAGAAUUUAAACAAUGACAAAAGUUUCCCAAUUGACAGUAAACAAGGAGUAAUUUUUUAUAUAUGUGUUGUGUCAAAUACAUGGUAGUGUGUGUAAUGUUUUUUUUAUUGACUUAAAGUAUUUUUUAUGCAUUAUUUUAAAAAAAAUUAGCAAUUUGCACUUCUUCUCUAUAUUCUCCAUAAGUGUCAGAAAUUUCAUACUCCUCCGUCCGCGCAAUUUUCGUAAAAAGGGGUACAAAGUUUUUGCUUCAUGUAUUAAUAUAUAGAUUCCCAUUAACUUUUUAUCUACAUAAAUAUUCGGAAUUUAUUCGAGUUUACUCGCAAAACGUCCUCUCAGGAGACCUAUAGAUUUACGAGUUACACAUUCGAACCCUACACUCGUCCUCCUGAAUUUUCAUGAUAUUUUUAUUACCUUCGAAGGUAUGGUCAAUGUAACCCCACUGACCAUAACGCAGCUGUGAUCUAUCGUAUCAGCAAACUCAAAAACAAAUAGCGGGUAGUUAUCAUAAAAUACAAGGCAUUUGUAACUGAUGCCUGAAUUUCGCUAAUUACGUUUUCAAGAUAAACUGACGUAUAUACAAGUUCCGAACAAAAACAUUCUGAGCGUCGAUCUACCGAGCAACUUCGCCCGCUUGGAAUAUCUUUCCUCUGUCGUUACCUCUAGGAACACAUUGCAGUGGAGAUGCAGGUGAUUCUCAAUAUUUAUUAAGCCUACCUAAAAAUCUAAACUUAUGUAAUACCUGUUCGGGUAAUACGUAACUAGUACAAAUAUGAUUUGGGGCCUCCUGCUCCAAAGGCCGGAAGAAUUUCGGAGGGAACAGAUAAUUAGCGAGGACAUAUGAAGUCAUUGUGGCCUAAAGGAUAAGACGUCCGGUUCAUUCGUAUCUAACAAUGCACCACUGCUCGACCCUGCUAACAAGUACCAAUUUUUCUAAUGAAAUACGUACUUAACAAAUGUUUACAGGAAUAACAUCGUGUACUAAAAAUCAAACCCGCCAAAUUAUAAUUUGCGUAAUUACUGGUGGUAGGUCGUCUUGUGAGUCCGCACGGGUAGGUACCACCAGCCCGCCUAUUUCUGCCGUGAAGCAGUAAUGCGUUUCGGUUCGAAGGGUGGGGCAGCCGUUGUAUCUAUACUGAGACCUUAGAACUCAUGUCUCAAGGUAGGUGGCGGCAUUUACGUUACAGAUGUCUAUGGACUCCGGUAACCUUAACAUCAGGUGAGCCGCGAGUUCGUCCAUCGAUAAAAGGAAUAAAAAAAAAAUUGAUGCUGCAUGUGAGAUAAGAGGAUAUACUAACUAUAGUUGUAGAUGACUGGGAUGUAUAUCCAAAUCAAUGAUUUCAUUGUCAAAAGACGUCGCUGAAAAACAUUAAGUCUGAAAUGAAAUGCUAUAGAUAACUCUGUAUACGUAACGAACAGAAAGGGCUCCAACACUUGACCUUUUAAGUUCUUUUGAACCUCAAUUAUCCGCGAACCGCUAUUUAUAUCGUGCGGCUACAGAAAGGCAAAAGGAUUUUAUCAAAAGCCACGGUUCGCUCAAUUUUCCUGAGAAAUAUUUCAUAAAAUAAAUUCAUUUAUGGAGUGGAGUGUAAAUUGACCAUUGAAUUGUCUGAUAUUUACAUUUUUUGACUGGAUGCGACUUUUUUAGUAUUGUUACAGACGGUUAUUGGACCUCAUGGCUCAUCCGACCUUAAACCAUUCAUUAACGGAACUUAUAUAUAUCACAUCUUGAACGCCACCUUCAGACAUGCGGUCAAAGUCUCGCUUUGUUUUGUGCAACAGCAUUGUAUAAUCGCUUAUUAAGCUAUUGCAUAGCUUUUAUCGCGGGCCUUGAGCGCGGCGACCGAAUCAUGAAAUUCCGUUACGAAAAAAACCUUACACCCCUCACUCCGCCUACCAUGUAACUCGCGUUCAACACAUUCACACGUUGCGCUUGUGUAGUGUUUGUGAAUAAGCGCGUGGCGUGACGUCACACUGCGUGCGCAUCAUGAAAAGUCUUCCCAUCUCUCUCUCGCGCGGUCUAGCUUAUGAGUGUGAAGGGGACAGUUAAGGUUUUGCUUUUAUUGUCAUUGUCUAAUUAUAAUUGCAUAAGUUGAUAAAAAAUGCUAUGCAAUAGCUUUACCGCGGCAGUUCCCGAGUGCCAUACGUUUUUUUAUAUUAGAAAUCACAAGCACUGCCACUGUUCCCGCGAAGUUUCCGGUAUAUGCAUUAAAAAAGAAGUCAAUAAAAAAACGGAUAAAGCAAGACGACUAGAAAACUCAUUAGCAAAGAAAAUAAAAAAAAAACCUGUGCAAUUCACACGCGCUAGAAGUGAAACCUUCAAGAUAAUGCGACGAAUGUAAAAUUUCGGGAAGAGGCUAAUUGUAGGUUUUAGUGAUGAUCAUGGUGAUACAAAGUUUGAUAUUUAUUGUACAUUUUAUUCGUAUAUUACGAAUAUUACGUACCAAGCAGAGCACAAAGAGAAUCACGAAUAUGAGAAACUCUGUAUAAUGCUUCCUAUCUCAUUUUCUCUCAUGUUAAAUCUUACGAAUUUAUGUGUCUAUCUCUUUUUCGUUUCAUCGACUUUUGAAUCACAACGAUGUUAAAGAAGUUUUCACUUCAGAGAUAUGGCACAUUCCUGUCUUAAAUCAGUAUUAAAAACCAUAAUAUUCAAAUUAAUGUAACAUUUUAAAUGAAACGACACGAUACGUUGUUUCCUGAUAACGCAUCUAUAUAUUAAUACGUAAAGCAAAAACUUUGUAUCCCUUUUUACGAAAAUUGCGCGGACGGAGGAGUAUGAAAUUUUCCACACUUAUAGAGAAUACUAGCUGACCCGGCAAACAUUGUUUUGCCAUAUAUAAGAUUUCUAGGGAAUUUCUAGUGUAGAAAAAAAAACUAACUUAUUGUAAGUGUGUAAGGAUGUGGUAAAUGAGUGAAAGAGGUAUGUAGUGCUGUGAACGAUGAGGAAAUAUAUUAUAAUAAAAAUAACAAAACCUCAUUCAUCCACAUAAUACCUCAUUAUAACAAAAAAAAAAGUCCCAAUAAAAAAAAAUAUCUUAGGGGUGGACAACCCUAAUCACUUAGGGGUAUGAAAAAUAGAUAGUAGCCGAUUCUCAGGCUUACUGUGUGCUUAGUGCGAGUUUUGUAACGUUCUCACUAGCGAGCCAGUUUGCUCAAAUUUGUAUGCAAUUGGAACAGCGCCCCUAGCGGCAAACGUACUCGGUGUUAUUUUGUGAGUGCGAGUUCAUAUUAACGUUGUGAUCUCGUAACCGAGUAAUUUUACCGAAAUUAGUACCAUGAAAAACAUUUGUGCGAGUGCGAGUUACAAAUUGGAUUUUGACAUUUCGAUCGAGUAUUUUUAAAUUAGUAGUUAUAUUUUUUUAACUGUAGAGGUAAAGAUAUCAUACCAUACAGCCCAAUUUUUAUUAAUUUUUUUAAUGCAAAAUGAUAUGGAGUAUAAUGAAAUAAAGCUGAUUAAUUGGAAACAUUGAUGAAUUGACAUGAAAUGAAAUGAAAUGAGAUCAGACGAUAUGGGAUGAAAUAUAAUAUCAGUAAAAUGGUGGUUAUUUAGUGAAAGUUUUUCAGUAGACUUUUUGGCAGAUUCCCAGAAGCUACUUCCAGCGGUUUUGUUUUAUUUUCCCACAUUUAUUACCAAAAUUUGAACCACCUUUAUUACACAUUUAAACCUGAAGAAACACUAAAUAGACAAAACAAGACAAUUCACACAACUUCGCUUUACGUGUUCCCGCCUAAAAGUCUGAAAGUCAGUAUUUCUUCGCUUCACUUUACUUCAGCAAAUUAAAGUUGUCGCAAAAAAUUUGGUAGUGAAACUAACAUAAUUUGUUCUUUUUAUUGAUUUUGUUGUGUUAAGUUGGCAUAAAGGUCUCGUUACCGGGCCAUAAAAUAUACAAAAUAUAUGUUUUUACAAUACAAAUAAAUCAAAAUAUUAGGUAGGCAGGUAAUACCUACUAAAUUAAAUAUAAUGAUGGCAGCACGUAAUUUUUUUGCAUGGAAAAUGCUAUCGAUGGCUGCAGCCCAAGAUGAGCGAAAUUAUAUGACUAGUAUUCGGAUAAAGUAUAGAAAUUCAAAUAAUCCAGUUACAAAUCUUACUGAGACCGAAUUUAGAAGAAUCUAUCGUUUCUCGAAGAAGACGUUUAAGUUCUUAUGCGAAGAACUUAGACAACUAACAAAUUUAAGAUCAUCUCAGCGCGUCAGCUUGGAAGUCAAGGUACUAACUGCCCUAUUUUUCUACGCAACGGGAUCCUACCAGCGGCCAGUGGGAAUUGCAAAAAAUGUGUCCCAAAAAAUGUGUAGUGUGUAUAUUGAACAAGUAACGGAAGCUCUAAUAUAUAAGGAUUUUUUAUGCAAAUAUAUUAAGUUUCCAGACACUUCAACUGCCAGACAAGAAGUUAGUCGCAGGUUUUUUUAUAAACAUCAAAUACCAGGUGUAAUUGGAUGCAUAGACUGUAGUCAUUUCAGAAUAUUUGGGCCACCUAAAAGAGAAGAGCAUCAGUAUUAUUGCCGAAAACACUAUCAUUCUAUUAACGUCUAAAUGGUAUGUGAUGAUGAAUAUAGAAUCCUCAAUGUUAAUUCUAAAUUUGGAGGUGCAAAUCAUGAUUUGAUUUGAUUUGAUUUGAUUUAUGAUUAUGUGAAAUUGUAUCUGUAUUCAUUUUUUUUAAAGGAGACUCUGGCUAUCCGCAACGUCCAUGGCUGAUGACUCCAAUUUUGAAUGCUGCCCCAAAUACACCUCAAAGCAAUUAUAAUCAGAAGCAUAUGAGAGCUAGAGUUGUUAUUGAAAACACAUUUGGAAGACUAAAAAAUCGUUGGCGGUGCCUUAACAAAGACAGGGCUCUUCACUAUAAACCUGUAAAAUGUGCUAGAAUCAUACUAGCCUGUUGUGUUUUGCACAAUAUAGGCAUUAAUUAUGAUACUGUAGACGAUGCAGAUAAUAUAGAUCUAGAAAAUGAUGAUGACCAAGGCCAUGAUGAGAUUAUGAGAGAAACAAGUUCUACAGCCGAUUUAAUAAGAGGCAGGGUACUAAGGGAUCAAUUAGUUAGAAGAUUAUAUCAGCAAUAAUUGUUUUAGAUUAUAAGUUCAUUGAUCCCUAUCUUCAUUUCAUUUAGAUUUUAUUUUUUCUGUUCUUUUAGUUAUAAUUACAAUCUUGUAAAAAUAUUUACUAUAUCUGUCUAUGUUUAGUGUGGAGAUAAAUAAUAUUUAAAAGAAAAAAGCUUAAAUAAAAAUACAAGAAUUAGAAUAGAA
Molecule: long non-coding RNA, 6735 nt
Organism: Bombyx mori (domestic silkworm)
Lineage: Eukaryota; Metazoa; Arthropoda; Insecta; Lepidoptera; Bombycidae
Exons: 6
Source: RefSeq, a predicted model, not a curated record